RNAcentral lists this ribosomal RNA (592 nucleotides) under bacterium. Its description in RNAcentral is "bacterial SSU rRNA". It matches the Rfam family "Bacterial small subunit ribosomal RNA", at positions 60 to 639 of the family's 1533-position model. The record is from RNAcentral.
AGUCGAGCGGACCGACGGGAGCUUGCUCCCUUAGGUCAGCGGCGGACGGGUGAGUAACACGUGGGUAACCUGCCUGUAAGACUGGGAUAACUCCGGGAAACCGGGGCUAAUACCGGAUGCUUGAUUGAACCGCAUGGUUCAAUCAUAAAAGGUGGCUUUUAGCUACCACUUACAGAUGGACCCGCGGCGCAUUAGCUAGUUGGUGAGGUAACGGCUCACCAAGGCGACGAUGCGUAGCCGACCUGAGAGGGUGAUCGGCCACACUGGGACUGAGACACGGCCCAGACUCCUACGGGAGGCAGCAGUAGGGAAUCUUCCGCAAUGGACGAAAGUCUGACGGAGCAACGCCGCGUGAGUGAUGAAGGUUUUCGGAUCGUAAAACUCUGUUGUUAGGGAAGAACAAGUACCGUUCGAAUAGGGCGGCACCUUGACGGUACCUAACCAGAAAGCCACGGCUAACUACGUGCCAGCAGCCGCGGUAAACGUAGGUGGCAAGCGUUGUCCGGAAUUAUUGGGCGUAAGCGCGCGCAGGCGGUUUCUUAGUCUGAUGUGAAACCCCCGGCUCACCGGGGAGGGCAUUGGAAACUGGGGA